UCGCGAAAACUUCACAAUGGGGGCAACCCCGAUGAGGGAAUUCCUAGUGCUAGCACAUUUGUGUUAGCUUUUCUUUAGCUUAGAAAACUAGGGGAAUAAGGGCUGGGUAAGACGGGUGCCAGCCGCCGCGGUAAUACCUGCAGCCCAAGUGGUGGUCGAUUUUAUUGAGUCUAAAACGUUCGUAGCCGGUUCGGUAAAUCUUUGGGUAAAUCGGGGGGCUUAACCUUCCGACUUCCGAGGAGACUGCCGAACUUGGGACCGGGAGAGGCUAGAGGUACUUCUGGGGUAGGGGUAAAAUCCUGUAAUCCUAGAAGGACCACCGGUGGCGAAGGCGUCUAGCUAGAACGGAUCCGACGGUGAGGGACGAAGCCCUGGGUCGCAAACGGGAUUAGAUACCCUGGUAGUCCAGGGUGUAAACGCUGCAGACUUGGUGUUGGAGGCCCUUUGGGGGCAUUCAGUGCCGGAGAGAAGUUGUUAAGUCUGCUACUUGGGGAGUACGUCCGCAAGGAUGAAACUUAAAGGAAUUGGCGGGGGAGCACCGCAACGGGAGGAGCGUGCGGUUUAAUUGGAUUCAACACCGUAAAACUCACCAGGGAAGACUGUUACAUGAAGGCCGGGCUAAAGACUCUGCCAGAUUUUCA
RNAcentral lists this ribosomal RNA (641 nucleotides) under uncultured euryarchaeote. RNAcentral describes it as "bacterial SSU rRNA". It matches the Rfam family "Archaeal small subunit ribosomal RNA", at positions 339 to 981 of the family's 1478-position model. The record is from RNAcentral. Lineage: Archaea; Methanobacteriati; Methanobacteriota.